CCUGGCAGUCAGAGGCGAUGAAGGACGUGCUAAUCUGCGAUAAGCGUCGGUAAGGUGAUAUGAACCGUUAUAACCGGCGAUUUCCGAAUGGGGAAACCCAGUGUGUUUCGACACACUAUCAUUAACUGAAUCCAUAGGUUAAUGAGGCGAACCGGGGGAACUGAAACAUCUAAGUACCCCGAGGAAAAGAAAUCAACCGAGAUUCCCCCAGUAGCGGCGAGCGAACGGGGAGCAGCCCAGAGCCUGAAUCAGUGUGUGUGUUAGUGGAAGCGUCUGGAAAGGCGCGCGAUACAGGGUGACAGCCCCGUACACAAAAAUGCACAUGCUGUGAGCUCGAUGAGUAGGGCGGGACACGUGGUAUCCUGUCUGAAUAUGGGGGGACCAUCCUCCAAGGCUAAAUACUCCUGACUGACCGAUAGUGAACCAGUACCGUGAGGGAAAGGCGAAAAGAACCCCGGCGAGGGGAGUGAAAAAGAACCUGAAACCGUGUACGUACAAGCAGUGGGAGCACGCUUAGGCGUGUGACUGCGUACCUUUUGUAUAAUGGGUCAGCGACUUAUAUUCUGUAGCAAGGUUAACCGAAUAGGGGAGCCGAAGGGAAACCGAGUCUUAACUGGGCGUUAAGUUGCAGGGUAUAGACCCGAAACCCGGUGAUCUAGCCAUGGGCAGGUUGAAGGUUGGGUAACACUAACUGGAGGACCGAACCGACUAAUGUUGAAAAAUUAGCGGAUGACUUGUGGCUGGGGGUGAAAGGCCAAUCAAACCGGGAGAUAGCUGGUUCUCCCCGAAAGCUAUUUAGGUAGCGCCUCGUGAAUUCAUCUCCGGGGGUAGAGCACUGUUUCGGCAAGGGGGUCAUCCCGACUUACCAACCCGAUGCAAACUGCGAAUACCGGAGAAUGUUAUCACGGGAGACACACGGCGGGUGCUAACGUCCGUCGUGAAGAGGGAAACAACCCAGACCGCCAGCUAAGGUCCCAAAGUCAUGGUUAAGUGGGAAACGAUGUGGGAAGGCCCAGACAGCCAGGAUGUUGGCUUAGAAGCAGCCAUCAUUUAAAGAAAGCGUAAUAGCUCACUGGUCGAGUCGGCCUGCGCGGAAGAUGUAACGGGGCUAAACCAUGCACCGAAGCUGCGGCAGCGACGCUGAUGCGUUGUUGGGUAGGGGAGCGUUCUGUAAGCCUGCGAAGGUGUGCUGUGAGGCAUGCUGGAGGUAUCAGAAGUGCGAAUGCUGACAUAAGUAACGAUAAAGCGGGUGAAAAGCCCGCUCGCCGGAAGACCAAGGGUUCCUGUCCAACGUUAAUCGGGGCAGGGUGAGUCGACCCCUAAGGCGAGGCCGAAAGGCGUAGUCGAUGGGAAACAGGUUAAUAUUCCUGUACUUGGUGUUACUGCGAAGGGGGGACGGAGAAGGCUAUGUUGGCCGGGCGACGGUUGUCCCGGUUUAAGCGUGUAGGCUGGUUUUCCAGGCAAAUCCGGAAAAUCAAGGCUGAGGCGUGAUGACGAGGCACUACGGUGCUGAAGCAACAAAUGCCCUGCUUCCAGGAAAAGCCUCUAAGCAUCAGGUAACAUCAAAUCGUACCCCAAACCGACACAGGUGGUCAGGUAGAGAAUACCAAGGCGCUUGAGAGAACUCGGGUGAAGGAACUAGGCAAAAUGGUGCCGUAACUUCGGGAGAA
This 1670-nucleotide ribosomal RNA is filed under the name Escherichia coli. Its description in RNAcentral is "partial 23S ribosomal RNA". It matches the Rfam family "Bacterial large subunit ribosomal RNA", at positions 32 to 1744 of the family's 2925-position model. Lineage: Bacteria; Pseudomonadati; Pseudomonadota; Gammaproteobacteria; Enterobacterales; Enterobacteriaceae. The record is from RNAcentral.